Molecule: small nucleolar RNA, 186 nt
Filed under: Candida albicans
Lineage: Eukaryota; Fungi; Ascomycota; Pichiomycetes; Serinales; Debaryomycetaceae
Description: snR35
Rfam family: Small nucleolar RNA snR35
Source: RNAcentral
UCUUUUUCUUCUUUGUGCGGCAGCCAAAGCUAUUACCGUGUUGCUUGUCUGUUCUAUUAAUCCUAACGAGUUGGCGAGCGUCAAGCUAUUGGCGAGAGUAAAAUUUACACAACCGGUCAUCUUAGUGCCCUUUCAUUUAAGACUGUUUUUCAAAGUUUUCAGUGAGGGCCGGAAGACCAUACAUUU